Molecule: ribosomal RNA, 448 nt
Filed under: uncultured bacterium
Lineage: Bacteria
Description: bacterial SSU rRNA
Rfam family: Bacterial small subunit ribosomal RNA
Source: RNAcentral
UCGAGAAUUUUUCUCAAUGGGCGAAAGCCUGAAGGAGCGACGCCGCGUGGGGGAUGAAGGGUUUCGAUCCGUAAACCCCUGUCAUUUGUGAACAAUGUUCAUCCAUGAACAGUGGAUGAAUUGAUAGUAGCGAAAGAGGAAGGGACGGCUAACUCUGUGCCAGCAGCCGCGGUAAUACAGAGGUCCCAAGCGUUGUUCGGAUUCACUGGGCGUAAAGGGCGCGUAGGUGGCGGGGUAAGUUUGAUGUGAAAUCUCCGGGCUUAACCCGGAAAUGGCAUUGAAUACUAUCCGGCUCGAGGGUUGGAGGGGGGACUGGAAUUCUCGGUGUAGCAGUGAAAUGCGUAGAUAUCGAGAGGAACACCGGUGGCGAAGGCGAGUCCCUGGACAACACCUGACACUGAGGCGCGAAAGCUAGGGGAGCAAACAGGAUUAGAUACCCCCGUAGUCC